RNAcentral lists this ribosomal RNA (406 nucleotides) under uncultured bacterium. Its description in RNAcentral is "partial 16S ribosomal RNA". It matches the Rfam family "Bacterial small subunit ribosomal RNA", at positions 30 to 526 of the family's 1533-position model. The record is from RNAcentral.
AUUGAACGCUGGCGGCAGGCCUAACACAUGCAAGUCGAACGAGAGUCGGACGGGUGAGUAAUGUUUGGGAAACUGCCCGAUGGAGGGGGAUAACUACUGGAAAAGGUAGCUAAUACACCACACCAUCGGAUGUGUCCAGAUGGGAUCAGCUUGGAGGUGAGGUAACGGCUCACCUAGGGGACGAUCCCUCGCUGGUCUGAGAGGAUGACCAGCCACACUGGAACUGAGACACGGUCCAGACUACUACGGGAGGCAGCAGUGGAGAAUAUUGCACAAUGGGCGCAAGCCUGAUCCAGCCAUGCCGCGUGUGUGAAGAAGGUCUUCGGAUUGUAAAGCACUUUAAGUUGGGAGGCGUUACCAACAGAAUAAGCACCGGCUAACUUCGUGCCAGCAGCCGCGGUAAUAC